Astatotilapia calliptera (eastern happy) is the source of this 1325-nucleotide long non-coding RNA. Lineage: Eukaryota; Metazoa; Chordata; Actinopteri; Cichliformes; Cichlidae. The record is from Ensembl.
CACAGAGUGCCAAAUUCUGGGCUCGAUUAGAGACGAGCUCUUGCACAAAGUUGGCUGCAAGGAAGUUAGAUGCAAGAGUGGUUUCACUGCACAGAGCAAGAAACUGAGGUGACCUUUAAUUAGGUCGUUGUUACAAAAGGAGCAUCUGUUUUCAUUACUCUCACAGUAAUCAAAUUUGAAGUAAUGAUGUGUGUGUUACCUGAUGAGCCACAACAUGUCAGAGAAUGCACCCCGAUAAGAUUAUUUAGCCUUGAGGGCCAAUCCCAGCUUCACUCUACACCCACACGCAGGCGCACACGCACACACUCACAGCACAAUGCCUCUCAUGUUUACGUUCAACUGAAUCUGGACAGUAGAACAAACCCGAUAAGUGUGUGAAAAUCAAUGUAGAAACAAAAAUCCAUAAAAUAAAUGAGAAUUUAACAGUACGCUACUUAGCUAAACUAGUUAUAAUAAUAGUAAUAAAGUACGUUACCCCAUGUAGUGAAGCUUUAACGUGAAAUUCACCCUGAAGCUGUUAAUAAAGUAGCUCUUGCAGGUUAGCUAAGAGUGAGCAAACACUCGAAUCACAAGUUAAUGUCUUACCUGCGCACGGACACACCCCAAGGUUUCCUCUAAGAAAAAAAAAUAGUCCCAGCACCUGUUUACGACAUAUUUCACCACCGCUUCACGGAUAGUUUGAUAGUUUAAAAAACAAAAACAAAUAAACAAGGCAAAAUCAAAAACUCCCACAUACCUUUAGCAAACACUCAAUAAAAGUGUGAACAACUGAGACUAACGUCUAACGUACCCCAGAGGUGUCAGACGUUGGCCGUAGCCAGCAGCUUCACUGAGAUUUAUUAUCUGCAAGCUUGCGUCUAAAAAUCAGCGACCGCACAAAAAAUUAAAAAGGAAAGGCGCUCAAGCAACGGCUCAGCAGCCCGUCAGCCUCCAGUGAGUGUUUCUAAAGACACAGCGGUGCUUCGUUUCUGUCCACAGCCUCUCUCAGCGGUCAUAUCCCUCGGUCGGUGAAAGGAUCUGAAUGGCCGGGGCUCCUACUCCGGACAGCCGCGCAGGGUUUUUUUUUUUUUUUUUUUUAAACUAGUCCCCCACACCCCUUCAGAGUGUGGCGGAAGGCGCUGACCUCCGGUCUGAUUAAGUGUUCGUUAUAGUACUACUACUGUCGGUAGAAGGCACAGCUGACUCCAGCUGGGCGGAUCAGGUAAACCGUAAAAACACCUGGCAGCGUGUCCAAACAGGAGUGAUGAAGCAAUGCAACAUAGCAGGGCGGCGUGUUGUUAUCUGCCCUCCACGAUGGAAACGAUGUAUUUACAUUAAUGCCACCA